UAGCACUCUUAAGUUCAGGUUGGUCCACUC
Molecule: non-coding RNA, 30 nt
Filed under: Mus musculus (house mouse)
Lineage: Eukaryota; Metazoa; Chordata; Mammalia; Rodentia; Muridae
Source: RNAcentral